GACGGGGGGGGCAAGUGUUCUUCGGAAUUACUGGGCGUAAAGCGCACGUAGGCGGCUUUGUAAGUUAGAGGUGAAAGCCCGGGGCUCAACUCCGGAAUUGCCUUUAAGACUGCAUCGCUAGAAUUGUGGAGAGGUAAGUGGAAUUCCGAGUGUAGAGGUGAAAUUCGUAGAUAUUCGGAAGAACACCAGUGGCGAAGGCGACUUACUGGACACAUAUUGACGCUGAGGUGCGAAAGCGUGGGGAGCAAACAGG
RNAcentral lists this ribosomal RNA (253 nucleotides) under uncultured bacterium. RNAcentral's name for it is "partial 16S ribosomal RNA". It matches the Rfam family "Bacterial small subunit ribosomal RNA", at positions 524 to 776 of the family's 1533-position model. The record is from RNAcentral.